RNAcentral lists this ribosomal RNA (123 nucleotides) under Pteropus alecto (black flying fox). The record is from RNAcentral. Lineage: Eukaryota; Metazoa; Chordata; Mammalia; Chiroptera; Pteropodidae.
GUCUACAGCCAUGCCACCCUGAACACACACGCCUGAUCUCGUCUGAUCUUGGAAGCUAAGCAGGGUCGGACCUGGUUAGUACUUGGAUGGGAGACCACCUAUGAAGACCAGGUGCUGUAGGCA